CAAAUUAGAGCUUGAGUAUAAAGUAUUUCAUUUACAUUGAAAGGAUAUUAAUUUAUUGAUUAAUUUGA
RNAcentral lists this transfer RNA (68 nucleotides) under Phalera grotei. RNAcentral's name for it is "tRNA-Val". Lineage: Eukaryota; Metazoa; Arthropoda; Insecta; Lepidoptera; Notodontidae. The record is from RNAcentral.